GAUUCUGGCUCAGAACGAACGCUGGUGGCGUGUCUUAUACAUGCAAGUCGAGCGAGGCAGCAAUGCCGAGCGGCGAACGGGUGAGUAACGCGUAAGCAAUCUGCCCCAUAUCAGGAAAUACCCGUGCCAACGCGCGGUUAAUGUCCAGGAGAGUGGCCCUCUGCAUGGAGGGUUGACUAGAGAUUUAUCGGUAUGGGAUGAGCUUGCGUCCGAUUAGCUAGUUGGCGGGGCAACGGCCACCAAGGCGACGAUCGGUAGCCGGCCUGAGAGGGUGAUCGGCCACAUUGGGACUGAGAUACGGCCCAGACUCCUACGGGAGGCAGCAGUAGGGAAUAUUGCACAAUGGGGGAAACCCUGAUGCAGCAACGCCACGUGUGGGAAGAAGCAUUUCGGUGUGUAAACCACUGUCAUGAGGGAAUAAGGCCCUUAUUCGUAAGGGAUUGAAUGUACCUUGAGAGGAAGCACCGGCAAACUUCGUGCCAGCCGCCGC
Molecule: ribosomal RNA, 490 nt
Filed under: uncultured bacterium
Lineage: Bacteria
Description: bacterial SSU rRNA
Rfam family: Bacterial small subunit ribosomal RNA
Source: RNAcentral